GUAUCAUCAGCAAGUGACAUGCUAGGAGUGACCAUUGUUUGUUUUGUUUUGUUUUGUUUUGUUUUCAGAAGUGUGCACAUGGCACUAAUGGUUCUUCAUACAGGAGUCAAUUAGAUGUCUGUGCUGUCACCUUGCAGAUGGCAUGUGAGAAGCUAUCCUUGCUCAGCUCCUUUCUAUCAAUACCCCAGGUGUCAACUAUUGAUAAACUGCUAUCAAAGCCAAAGUUAGUUGAAAGCUCAUUUCAGCUUUUAAAUCACAGCUCCAGCCACUGUGAUAUUUCUACUGUUUUAGGCAAUUUGCAGUCAGGAGACAACCAUUGACUUCAAAGGAGAUUGUCAUCUUUCAGCCUGUGAAACACUGAAGCCUCAUCUUAGAAUCACAGAAUCUGAGUUGGAAGGGACCCACAAGGAUCAUUGAGUCCAACUCCUGGCUCCACACAGGACCACCCAAAAAUCAGAACACAUGUCUGAGAGUGUUGUCCAAACUCCGUCAGUCUUGGUGCUGUGACCUGUCCCAGUGCCUGACCACUCUCUGAGUGCAGAACCUUUCCCUAACACCCAGCUUGACCCUCCCCUGUCCCAGCUCCAUGGGGACAGACAGCCAACACAGCCAUUCCCUGGUUCCUGUCGCUGUCCCCAGAGAGCAGAGCUCAGCCCCUCUGCUCCCCUCGUGAGGGAGCUGCAGGCCGCCAUGAGGCCUCCCCCUCAGCCUGCUCUGCUCAGGGCUGAACAAACCAAGGGACCUCAGCUGCUCCUCAUACAUCUCGCCCUCUAGGCCCUUCACCAUCUUUGUAUCCCUCCUUUGGACACUCUCCAACAGUUUUAUGUCUUUUUUAUAUCAAGAGGCCCCAAACUGCACACAUUACUUGAGGUGAGGCUGCACCAACACAGAGCAGAGCAGGACAGUCUCUUCCCUUGACCAGCAAGCCUGAUGCACCCCCGGGUAUGGUUGGCCAUUUUGGCUGCCAGGGUACACCAAUGACUCCUGGGCUACUGCAGCAUGUUCAGGUCUUUGGGGAGGCAGCAUCCUUUAUGGUUACUGCUGGAAAAUCAGCAACACGUACAAGGCAUGCAGCUUUCCUUCAGCUUUUCAGGAUGGGGGAGAACCUGGCCAGGUGUGGUGCAGAGACCUUCACCCAGCCCCAGGCUGGAGCAAAGAUGAGCAGAGAGAGAAGGCUUCUUAAAGUUGAGUUAGAGGGUUUUGCAGCUGGUAUUUUCUGGCCACUGCAGCUCACGCACCUGGGCAUGAGCCCACUAUGCAUUUGAAAAGUGUCUCUUCCUUUGGUUUAUGCAUGUGAGGGAUCAUGCCCUUGAUAUUUAUUUUAAUAAUGAGUUCUGGAAUCUUUUUAUUUUGUUCUCUUGUGUUUCUGAACAUUAAACGCCUCAAUUUUAGCUCUGCUGUUUGCAGAGAAAGGUAAACUUCAGUAAAACUGGGAAGUCUCGCGUAAUCACAUGACUCCAGGGGCUGCAGAAUCAAAAAAACACCUGCAAAACACUAUGAUUAAAGUGAGCAAGAGCCAAGUAAUGUUCCUCUCCCUGGGACAAGGAGUGCUGAAUCUGCUCUGAGAACAUGGAGAAUUCUCCUUCCCUUCUGUCCCUUUUAGCCCCCUGACCUCAACCCUGGCUGCAGCUCCCGACCAAGGUAGUGUUGGCUGCAGAUUGCAUUUCCCUGGCAUAAAUAACUCCCUUGCAGCCCCGCUCCAUCCCCAGCAGCCAGCAGGACUGCUGCCACUGAUUAAACCAGCUCUGGGAUUGACACAGCAGAAGGGGCAGGUUUGAAGGCACCAAGUCAACAAAGGAUCUCAGCAGGUGAGUGUCCCCUUCCUGAUCCUCACUUUCAUGUCUGGAAUUACAAAUGGGCUUCUGAGUCUUGCUGAGAUGUAGAUUCAGGCAAUAUCUCACCACAGGAACUACCUCCCGUCUUUCUGACACUUAAUGGCACAAUGAACAUUGUUCACCUCAAAAAGUGCAAAUUUUAUUUGCUAGUUUUGGAGUUAAUGAAAUAGUUUCAGAGAGUUUUUACCCAUAUCAGUACAUUGAAACAUAGCCUCUUGCUGUACAGGUGAUGCAAUUAAAUCUUACACAUAUUCAUAUAUUUUUACGCAUUUAAGUAUCAGCUCUGAAAGCAUUGUGUUUUUGAUUUUUUUUCACCCUCUCUAAUAAAAUCUUGAAAUAUCUACUUCA
RNAcentral lists this long non-coding RNA (2183 nucleotides) under Anas platyrhynchos platyrhynchos (common mallard). RNAcentral describes it as "lncRNA (ENSAPLG00000027410.1)". The record is from RNAcentral. Lineage: Eukaryota; Metazoa; Chordata; Aves; Anseriformes; Anatidae.